UCAGUGACACCUGUGUUCUCCAGUAGUUCACCUAUCGGGCGCACACACGCCCGACCAAUAUCAUUCCGGCACCGUUCACUUCGCAAACGCGCGAACCUGCUACCAGUAUGUAAACCAGUAUGUAUUUGUCGAAUCGCAAAGGCGUCUGAGGUACGAGGUGAUUUUGAAAGGCAGACGUCGACUCGUAAAAUUCGUGAAAAACGAACGAAACGGAUGAAACGCGUGUACAAAUCCACGUUAACGUUUACGCGUUCGCAAGCAGGAAUUGCGAAACGUCGAACUCAACGACACGCCGCGUCGUUGUCACAGUGAAUAUAUACUUUGUCGAAUUCGAGAAAUCUCUGCCAGUUAAAAAAUCCUCUGUCGCCAAUUGAGAUUUUUAACAUCCGGAGUCAAUUUAUGUACGUAGAUGUUUGAUUCCAUAAUGGUUCAACGACGAGGCGAUUGACGGUGGCUAUACAUCCAAGGAAAAAUAUGAAAAUGAACUGUUGAAUCAUUUUGACGGUUGAAAAAAUUCACUUACAUCGAAAGAAGAAUAUAAUACAAUAAGAAUAAAACGCAUUGACAGAAGAUAAAAGAAGUAAAAUAAAAUAGAGAAUGAAAUACAAAUGAAACAGAAAAAUAUAAUAGAAAUGAUCAGAGAAUGAUACGUGAAUAAUUAACGACUAAAUUGGCGCAUUUGUAAGAAACGAUCAAAAAAUAUUCGCCUUUCGGUAAAUAGGUACACUCUACCGAGACUUUGAGACACGUAAUAUUAUUGUUGAACAUGCUCUUACGAGAGAGAAGAGGGAGAGAGAGAGAGAGAGAGAGAGAAUCGUUUUACCGAGGACGCGAAGAGGAAGAUAUGCAGAUCGUAUGGUAAUCGUGCCGCAAGACAGGCGCAACCUGUAUCGCGUUGCGCUUUGGAAAAAAGCGAAAGCGGGAAAGAAAGUGGGGGUAAAAAUAGGAGAAGAAGGGAUCCUAAAGUCUACGAUUUUCAAUUUUCAACUGACCUGCUGGCGCACUAUAAAUUUCGACAUCGUAGCGAUUAUUACAUUGGGAACAAUUUGAAACCAAUUUGAAGGUGCGUAUAGGAGCAUAAACUUGGCGCGUAGUACAAAUAAUACAGUGUUUAAGUACUCUUGUAUUUUUAUAUAUUAAUAUAUACAAAAUAUAUAUCAUUCUGUACCUUGUAACUUU
Molecule: long non-coding RNA, 1179 nt
Organism: Frieseomelitta varia
Lineage: Eukaryota; Metazoa; Arthropoda; Insecta; Hymenoptera; Apidae
Exons: 2
Source: RefSeq, a predicted model, not a curated record